UACGUAGGGUGCAAGCGUUGUCCGGAAUUAUUGGGCGUAAAGGGCUCGUAGGCGGUUUGUCGCGUCGGGAGUGAAACCUUGGGCUUAACUCAGGGCUUGCUUUCGAUACGGGCAGACUAGAGGUAUGCAGGGGAGAACGGAAUUCCUGGUGUAGCGGUGAAAUGCGCAGAUAUCAGGAGGAACACCGGUGGCGAAGGCGGUUCUCUGGGCAUGAUCUGCGCUGAGGAGCGAAAGUGUGGGGAGCGAACAGG
Molecule: ribosomal RNA, 251 nt
Filed under: uncultured bacterium
Lineage: Bacteria
Description: partial 16S ribosomal RNA
Rfam family: Bacterial small subunit ribosomal RNA
Source: RNAcentral